GAUGAACGCUGGCGGCGUGCCUAAUACAUGCAAGUCGAGCGAACAGACGAGGAGCUUGCUCCUUUGACGUUAGCGGCGGACGGGUGAGUAACACGUGGGUAACCUACCUAUAAGACUGGGAUAACUUCGGGAAACCGGAGCUAAUACCGGAUAAUAUUUCGAACCGCAUGGUUCGAUAGUGAAAGAUGGCUUUGCUAUCACUUAUAGAUGGACCUGCGCCGUAUUAGCUAGUUGGUAAGGUAACGGCUUACCAAGGCAACGAUACGUAGCCGACCUGAGAGGGUGAUCGGCCACACUGGAACUGAGACACGGUCCAGACUCCUACGGGAGGCAGCAGUAGGGAAUCUUCCGCAAUGGGCGAAAGCCUGACGGAGCAACGCCGCGUGAGUGAUGAAGGUCUUCGGAUCGUAAAACUCUGUUAUUAGGGAAGAACAAACGUGUAAGUAACUGUGCACGUCUUGACGGUACCUAAUCAGAAAGCCACGGCUAACUACGUGC
RNAcentral lists this ribosomal RNA (498 nucleotides) under uncultured bacterium. RNAcentral's name for it is "bacterial SSU rRNA". It matches the Rfam family "Bacterial small subunit ribosomal RNA", at positions 28 to 508 of the family's 1533-position model. The record is from RNAcentral.